UACGUAGGGGGCGAGCGUUGUCCGGAAUUACUGGGCGUAAAGAGCUCGUAGGUGGUUUGUCGCGUUGUUCGUGAAAACUCACAGCUUAACUGUGGGCGUGCGGGCGAUACGGGCAGACUUGAGUACUGCAGGGGAGACUGGAAUUCCUGGUGUAGCGGUGGAAUGCGCAGAUAUCAGGAGGAACACCAGUGGCGAAGGCGACACGCUGGGCCGUACCUGACACUGAUGCGCGACAGCAUGGGGAGCAAACAGG
Molecule: ribosomal RNA, 253 nt
Filed under: uncultured bacterium
Lineage: Bacteria
Description: partial 16S ribosomal RNA
Rfam family: Bacterial small subunit ribosomal RNA
Source: RNAcentral